AGAGUUUGAUUCUGGCUCAGGACGAACGCUGGCGGCGUGCUUAACACAUGCAAGUCGAGCGAUGAAGUCCUCGGGAACAGAUUAGCGGCGGACGGGUGAGUAACACGUGGGUAACCUGCCUCAUAGAGGGGAAUAGCCUUCCGAAAGGAAGAUUAAUACCGCAUAAGAUUGUAGUUUCGCAUGAAACAGCAAUUAAAGGAGUAAUCCGCUAUGAGAUGGACCCGCGUCGCAUUAGCUAGUUGGUGAGGUAACGGCUCACCAAGGCGACGAUGCGUAGCCGACCUGAGAGGGUGAUCGGCCACAUUGGGACUGAGACACGGCCCAGACUCCUACGGGAGGCAGCAGUGGGGAAUAUUGCACAAUGGGGGAAACCCUGAUGCAGCCAACGCCGCGUGAGUGAUGACGGUCUUCGGAUUGUAAAGCUCUGUCUUUAGGGACGAUAAUGACGGUACCUAAGGAGGAAGCCACGGCUAACUACGUGCCAGCAGCUGC
RNAcentral lists this ribosomal RNA (492 nucleotides) under uncultured bacterium. Its description in RNAcentral is "bacterial SSU rRNA". It matches the Rfam family "Bacterial small subunit ribosomal RNA", at positions 8 to 518 of the family's 1533-position model. The record is from RNAcentral.